AGUAAAAGUCGUAACAAGGUUUCCUUCUUUGAAGCCUUUUGCACCCGACUAUAACCACGUGCAGAGUCCACCUUAAGGGUGGGCGACGUCACCUAUCUGCUGGGAUCCACUUCCGUGGGGACCAGCAGCCAGAUAUGACUCUGUUAUACUUGGUCUACAGAUUAGGCGGUGGCGGUCAGCAUCAUGUCUCUCAAUAGGCAAGUUCUGAUCAAGAUAUAAUCGGUCGCUAUUGUUGGUGUAAAUAGUUGAGAAACGUUCCGUAGGUGAACCUGCGGAAGGAUCAUUAUUGAGUUAGGGUCCUCUGGGCCCCAUCUCCAACCCUUGUCUAUAUUACCAUGUUGCUUUGGCGGGCCCGUCUUUAACCGGACCGCCGGGGACGCGUUCCCUGGCCUGUGCCCGUCAGUAGCCCGUACAAACUCUUUGAACAGUGAUGUCUAAGUACAAAUAUAAUAAUUAAAACUUUCAACAACGGAUCUCUUGGUUCUGGCAUCGAUGAAGAACGCAGCGAAAUGCGAUAAGUAAUGCGAAUUGCAGAAUUCCGUGAGUCAUCGAAUCUUUGAACGCACAUUGCGCCCUUUGGUAUUCCGAAGGGCAUGCCUGUUCGAGCGUCAUUAUCAACCCUCAAGCCCGGCUUGCUGUUGGGUCUUACCGCUAGCGAUGACGGCGGACCCCAAAGAUAAUGGCAGAGUUCCGUGGACCCUGGAUGCAGCGAGCUCCUCAGCACGCGUCUCGGCGGUUCCCGGGCUCGGUCUUAACCAAUGUAUUUGUCAGGUUGACCUCGGAUCAGGUAGGGAUACCCGCUGAACUUAAG
RNAcentral lists this ribosomal RNA (811 nucleotides) under Verrucaria placida. Its description in RNAcentral is "eukaryotic LSU rRNA". The stretch from base 458 to 611 matches the Rfam family "5.8S ribosomal RNA". The record is from RNAcentral. Lineage: Eukaryota; Fungi; Ascomycota; Eurotiomycetes; Verrucariales; Verrucariaceae.